GAUGAACGCUGGCGGCGUGCUUAAUACAUGCAAGUCGAGCGAACAGACCAGGAGCUUGCUCCUCUGACGUUACCGGCGGGCGGGUGAGUAAUACGUGGAUAACCUACCUGUAAUACUGGGCUGAAUUCGGGAAACCUGAGCUAAUACCGGAUAAUAUAUUUAAGCGCUUUGUUCAAUAUUGUAAGACUGUUUUUCGGUCAGUUAUAGAUGGAUCCGCGCCGCAUUAGCUAGUUUAUAAGGUAACGGCCUACCAAGGCAACGAUGCGUACCCGACCUGAGAGAGGGAUCGGCGACACUGGAACUGAACCACGGUCCAGACUCCUGCGGGAGGCAGCAGUAGGGAAUGUUCCGCAAUGGGCGAAAGCAUGACGGAGCAAACCCGAGCGAGUGAUGAAGGUCCUCGGAUAGUAAAACCCUGUUACUAGGGAUGAACAAAUGUGUAAGGAACCAAACCCGUAUUGACGGUACCUAAACAGGAAGCCCCGGCUAACUACGUG
This 497-nucleotide ribosomal RNA is filed under the name uncultured bacterium. RNAcentral's name for it is "partial 16S ribosomal RNA". It matches the Rfam family "Bacterial small subunit ribosomal RNA", at positions 28 to 507 of the family's 1533-position model. The record is from RNAcentral.